UGGGGAAUAUUGCACAAUGGGCGCAAGCCUGAUGCAGCCAUGCCGCGUGUAUGAAGAAGGCCUUCGGGUUGUAAAGUACUUUCAGCGAGGAGGAAGGCGGUAAGGUUAAUAACCUUAUCGAUUGACGUUACUCGCAGAAGAAGCACCGACUAACUCCGUGCCAGCAGCCGCGGUAAUACGGAGGGUGCAAGCGUUAAUCGGAAUUACUGGGCGUAAAGCGCACGCAGGCGGUCUGUCAAGUCGGAUGUGAAAUCCCCGGGCUCAACCUGGGAACUGCAUUCGAAACUGGCAGGCUAGAGUCUUGUAGAGGGGGGUAGAAUUCCAGGUGUAGCGGUGAAAUGCGUAGAGAUCUGGAGGAAUACCGGUGGCGAAGGCGGCCCCCUGGACAAAGACUGACGCUCAGGUGCGAAAGCGUGGGGAGCAAACA
RNAcentral lists this ribosomal RNA (427 nucleotides) under uncultured bacterium. RNAcentral describes it as "partial 16S ribosomal RNA". It matches the Rfam family "Bacterial small subunit ribosomal RNA", at positions 355 to 774 of the family's 1533-position model. The record is from RNAcentral.